Acanthosepion pharaonis is the source of this 112-nucleotide non-coding RNA. Lineage: Eukaryota; Metazoa; Mollusca; Cephalopoda; Sepiida; Sepiidae. The record is from the annotation of a GenBank genome assembly.
UUACGUCCAUAUCAGGUUGAAACACCAGUUUCCGUACACCACUGAAGUUAAGCAACGUCGAGUUUGAUCAGUACCUAGAUGGGUGACCGCUUAGGAAUACUGGGUGCUGUAA